AGAGUUUGAUCAUGGCUCAGAGUGAACGCUGGCGGUAGGCCUAACACAUGCAAGUCGAACGGCAGCACAGGAGAGCUUGCUCUCUGGGUGGCGAGUGGCGGACGGGUGAGGAAUACAUCGGAAUCUACUCUGUCGUGGGGGAUAACGUAGGGAAACUUACGCUAAUACCGCAUACGACCUACGGGUGAAAGUGGGGGACCGCAAGGCCUCACGCGAUAGAAUGAGCCGAUGUCGGAUUAGCUAGUUGGCGGGGUAAAGGCCCACCAAGGCGACGAUCCGUAGCUGGUCUGAGAGGAUGAUCAGCCACACUGGAACUGAGACAUGGUCCAGACUCCUACGGGAGGCAGCAGUGGGGAAUAUUGGACAAUGGGCGCAAGCCUGAUCCAGCCAUACCGCGUGAGUGAAGAAGGCCCUCGGGUUGUAAAGCUCUUUUGUUGGGAAAGAAAUCCUGUUGGCUAAUACCCGGCAGGGAUGACGGUACCCAAAGAAUAAGCACCGGCUAACUUCGUGCCAGCAGCCGCGGUAAUACGAAGGGUGCAAGCGUUACUCGGAAUUACUGGGCGUAAAGCGUGCGUAGGUGGUGGUUUAGGUCUGUUGUGAAAGCCCUGGGCUCAACCUGGGAAUUGCAGUGGAUACUGGAUCACUAGAGUGUGGUAGAGGGUGGCGGAAUUCCCGGUGUAGCAGUGAAAUGCGUAGAGAUCGGGAGGAACAUCCGU
Molecule: ribosomal RNA, 716 nt
Filed under: uncultured bacterium
Lineage: Bacteria
Description: bacterial SSU rRNA
Rfam family: Bacterial small subunit ribosomal RNA
Source: RNAcentral